This 397-nucleotide ribosomal RNA is filed under the name uncultured bacterium. RNAcentral describes it as "bacterial SSU rRNA". It matches the Rfam family "Bacterial small subunit ribosomal RNA", at positions 360 to 755 of the family's 1533-position model. The record is from RNAcentral.
AAUAUUGGUCAAUGGACGCAAGUCUGAACCAGCCAUGCCGCGUGAAGGAUGAAGGUCCUCUGGAUUGUAAACUUCCUUUAUCUGGGACGAAAACGGGAUUUUUAUCUCAAUUGACGGUACCAGAGGAAUAAGCACCGGCUAACUCCGUGCCAGCAGCCGCGGUAAUACGGAGGGUGCGAGCGUUAUCCGGAUUUACUGGGUUUAAAGGGUGCGUAGGUGGGCUUAUAAGUCAGUGGUGAAAUCUCCGAGCUUAACUUGGAAACUGCCGUUGAUACUAUAGGUCUUGAAUUAUCUGGAGGUAAGCGGAAUAUGUCAUGUAGCGGUGAAAUGCUUAGAUAUGACAUAGAACACCAAUUGCGAAGGCAGCUUACUACAUAUAAAUUGACGCUGAGGCACG